This 189-nucleotide non-coding RNA is filed under the name Sphingomonadales bacterium. Lineage: Bacteria; Pseudomonadati; Pseudomonadota; Alphaproteobacteria; Sphingomonadales. The record is from RNAcentral.
GCAAUUGCGCAUCCAGAUGGUUCCUCCCUUAGCCGGGAGGCGAAGAGGGAAGCCGGUGCAAAUCCGGUGCUGUGCCCGCAACUGUCAGUCGGGAGCCGACGGCCAAUAUGUCACUGGGAGCGAUCCCGGGAAGACGGCCCGAGGCGAUGAUCGACGAGCCAGGAGACCUGCCAUCGCGUCGUUCAUCCG